This 372-nucleotide ribosomal RNA is filed under the name uncultured organism. Its description in RNAcentral is "bacterial SSU rRNA". It matches the Rfam family "Bacterial small subunit ribosomal RNA", at positions 526 to 896 of the family's 1533-position model. The record is from RNAcentral.
CAGAGGUCCCAAGCGUUGUUCGGAUUCAUUGGGCGUAAAGGGUGCGUAGGCGGCGCGGUAAGUCGGGUGUGAAAUCUCGGAGCUUAACUCCGAAACUGCAUUCGAUACUGCCGUGCUUGAGGACUGGAGAGGAGACUGGAAUUUACGGUGUAGCGGUGAAAUGCGUAGAUAUCGUAAGGAAGACCAGUGGCGAAGGCGGGUCUCUGGACAGUUCCUGACGCUGAGGCACGAAGGCCAGGGGAGCAAACGGGAUUAGAUACCCCGGUAGUCCUGGCAGUAAACGGUGCACGUUUGGUGUGGGAGGAUUCGACCCCUUCUGCGCCGGAGCUAACGCGUUAAACGUGCCGCCUGGGGAGUACGGUCGCAAGAUUA